RNAcentral lists this unclassified non-coding RNA (345 nucleotides) under uncultured Russulales. RNAcentral describes it as "sequence contains 5.8S rRNA gene, ITS2, 28S rRNA gene". Lineage: Eukaryota; Fungi; Basidiomycota; Agaricomycetes; Agaricales. The record is from RNAcentral.
AACGCACCUUGCACCCCUUGGCAUUCCGAGGGGUACACCCGUUUGAGUGUCGUGACAUCCUCAACCUUCUUCGGUUUGUUUUUCGAUCGGGAAGGCUUGGAAUCUGGAGGUUUUUUUUUUUGCUGGCCUCUUUUGAAGCCAGCUCCUCUUAAACGAAUUAGUAGGGUUGACAUGAGUUCUAUCCUAGACGUGAUAAAGAUGCUUUUACGUCUUGAGGUCUUGCUCUGUCCCCCGCUUCUAACUGUCUCGCAAGGGACACCGUUCGGGCCGACGCCUUUCAUAGGUGGAAAGCCCGACCCACGAAACCUUGACCUCAAAUCGGGUGAGACUACCCGCUGAACUUAA